AGAACGAACGCUGGCGGCGUGGAUAAGACAUGCAAGUCGAACGAGGUAGUUUGGUAGCAAUAUCAAACUGCCUAGUGGCAAACGGGUGCGUAACACGUAGGUUACAUUCCGGAAAGUGUGGGAUAGCCCAGGGAAACUUGGAUUAAUACCGCAUGUGAUCGCAAGAUCAAAGGCGAAAGCCGCUUUCUGAUUGGCCUGCGCCCUAUCAGCUAGUUGGUGAGGUAAUGGCUCACCAAGGCAACGACGGGUAGCUGGUCUGAGAGGACGACCAGCCACACUGGAACUGAGACACGGUCCAGACACCUACGGGUGGCAGCAGUCGAGAAUCUUUCACAAUGGGGG
RNAcentral lists this ribosomal RNA (342 nucleotides) under uncultured bacterium. RNAcentral's name for it is "SSU rRNA". It matches the Rfam family "Bacterial small subunit ribosomal RNA", at positions 26 to 377 of the family's 1533-position model. The record is from RNAcentral.